GGAUUGUGGCUCAGCGAUAGAGUGGUCGCCUAGCAUGUGUGAGGUACUGGGUUCAAUCCUCAGCACCA
This 68-nucleotide transfer RNA is filed under the name Marmota monax (woodchuck). Its description in RNAcentral is "tRNA.Ala". Lineage: Eukaryota; Metazoa; Chordata; Mammalia; Rodentia; Sciuridae. The record is from RNAcentral.